RNAcentral lists this ribosomal RNA (576 nucleotides) under Nemania sp. 6 NK-2011. RNAcentral's name for it is "eukaryotic LSU rRNA". The stretch from base 195 to 348 matches the Rfam family "5.8S ribosomal RNA". Lineage: Eukaryota; Fungi; Ascomycota; Sordariomycetes; Xylariales; Xylariaceae. The record is from RNAcentral.
GCGGAGGGACAUUACAGAGUUAUCAAAACUCCCAAACCCAUGUGAACAUACCUCGCGUUGCCUCGGCAGGUGGCGCCCCGCCCUGUGAGGGCCUACCCUGUAGGAGCUCACCCGGUGGUCGCCCCUGCCGACGGCCCACGAAACUCUGUUUUUUUAUAGCAUUAGACCUCUGAAAAGAUAACUAAAUAAGUUAAAACUUUCAACAACGGAUCUCUUGGUUCUGGCAUCGAUGAAGAACGCAGCGAAAUGCGAUAAGUAAUGUGAAUUGCAGAAUUCAGUGAAUCAUCGAAUCUUUGAACGCACAUUGCGCCCACCAGUAUUCUGGUGGGCAUGCCUGUUCGAGCGUCAUUUCAACCCUUAAGCCCCUGUUGCUUAGCGUUGGGAGCCUACCGGAAACCGUCCGGUAGCUCCCCAAAGUCAGUGGCGGAGCCGGUUCGCACUCCAGACGUAGUAGCUUUUACACGUCGCCUGUAGCGCGGGCCGGUCCCCUGCCGUAAAAACCCCAAAUUCUUAUAGGUUGACCUCGGAUCAGGUAGGAAUACCCGCUGAACUUAAGCAUAUCAAUAAGCGGAGGAA